Neurospora crassa OR74A is the source of this 111-nucleotide non-coding RNA. The record is from the annotation of a RefSeq genome assembly. NCBI's taxonomy places the organism in Eukaryota, Fungi, Ascomycota, Sordariomycetes, Sordariales, Sordariaceae.
GUUAGAGUGGAGUAGUAGUUUAACUCGUCGCCCUCCCAAACUGAUCCCCAAAAAAAAGGGUGAGGCAAGGAGAUUCAGGCGGAGACCCGGGUGCGAAUCCCGGCUCUAGCA